Molecule: long non-coding RNA, 2800 nt
Organism: Phocoena sinus (vaquita)
Lineage: Eukaryota; Metazoa; Chordata; Mammalia; Artiodactyla; Phocoenidae
Source: Ensembl
AGCCCCGAGAGCCGCUCUAGGUGCGGGUCACCUGCCUGGGCGCCUCUGAAUAUUCCAUGGAGCCCAUCAAACACGUGUCCUUAAAUCAUAAACGUGAGAAUGCUAGUUGCAGUAUUUCUUUGUGGACAAACCGCCUCACAGUGUGCUCUGGGGAGCUCUCUCCGCUUCCAGUUCAUACUCCGAUCUUCAGUCUCAGCUGGUGAACUGACUUUGUACUUUGGUGACUGGGAACUUUGGUUUCCAAUUUAAUUUAACUGAAAUUUGCUGCUGACGUGUUGAGUUUGUUCUUUAAACAAAAAUCUCAAUGUCUGUCUCUCCUCCUGUUUUAGGAGAACAGACCUACUAGUGAAUGUAUUAACGAAAUGCAUCUAUUGCAGAGCUGACUUUAAAAGUUUGAGUUCAGUUUUUUCCUUUAUGAGCUGUGAAUAUGAGUAUGCCAGCAGUGUGCGCUAUAACUGUCACAGUAUUUAAAUAGAUUUCACUGUCUCUGCAAGUCCAGGCCUCUUCGAAGUCUGUAAAAACUUGUUUUGAAAUAUAGUCUCUACCUAUGGACAUAACAACAAAAUGCCUUUUUGCAAGAUAAAACAUGUAUUGCUUUGAUUACAAAAGGGGCACCCUUCCCUGGUUUCAGCAAUGAGAGGAAAUGUACUGAUUAUUGUGAUAUUUCUAUUAAACGUGCUGCACUGUUAGGCCUGCUCAUCUUCUAGUAGCCAAGGUCUCCUGGGCAUUUUGAGUUGCUUUAUGAAAUGAAUCUUGGGUUCCUUCUCUGCUGUCUUUACCAGUUGGGACCUCGGACCCUGGGUGCUUGGAGGAACGCAGGUCGCCCUUCGGGUCCGUGGUGCCUGCCGCAUCUGACACCCACCUUCCAGCUGAAACUCAGGCCACCUUGGCCUUUCCGUGGGCACCUCUCAAGUUCCGGCCUCUGUGGUGUGAGGCUUUCUUGUACAGCGAACUCUGCUUAUGCUCCAGUCAGCGUAAGUGGAGAAUUACAUUCCUUUAGGCAGAAGUGGCCUACUCACUAGCAGUGCCGCGUCCUUUACCCAUUAGCCAGUGAUGAGUCUAAGAGUUCCCAUGAAGAUACAACAACGCUGCUGUUUGGUAAGCAGAGCACACAAAGACGCUCACGUGUGAUUAAAUAGGAACGCCGUGGUGGCACUCGGUGCAAGACUGUUGUGUUUUGAUUUGGUGUCUGAAAAUCAACUGUGGCUUCGGCAUAAGCCCAGGAGAACAACCUGUUACAGUUUUGCGGUGUCUUUGGGCUGAUUUUCACCCAUGAGUGUUAAAAAGCGUUUGGUUGUUUAUGUAUUUGGUUAUAUAGAGAAGGGAAAUGUUUUUCACCUGCAUUCAAAAUGUGAUUACAUGGGAAAAGAAUCAAGUUCUGACAUUCAAGUUGUUACCGUUUAAAACAAUAGAAAGGCUCCUGUGAGUCGAACGCCGAAUAUGGUGAGGAAACGGGAUUUCAGGUUCAGGAAUGCAGGUGACCACCUGGUUUCCUUGGGGGAUGGGCCCACCCCCACCCCCACCCCCACCCACCUCUCCAGAGUCUGCCCUCGCCCCUCCUCUCUGAGGACGGUCACCGCCCCUUCCCCACACACCCCAUACAGAUGCAGGGAGGCCCAGCCUAGUCACCUGGACCAGGUGCAGGGCCCUACCCAAGCCAGACCACCUAGAUUCUCUCAGGGUGAGGACUUGGGACCGAGAGUCAAGUCAGCAUGUCUGUGCGCCCGGAAUCGGGACGUGUAAACGCAGGGGCUCCGGGUGCCCAGAAGGAGCGGGGAAAGCCCCACGCAAAUAGGCCAGUAAGCUGGCGCGCAGGCAUCACAGAGACCCAGGGCAAGGGUUCAGGGCCUUCGAUUAAUAGCAUGGAACGAGCUCGAGCUGUUAAAGUUCAAACAGAAAAGAAAGUUGAACAGAAAGAAGCAGACAUCCUAAUAUAGGAAGCUCAGGAUUUAAUGGUCUCUGGUCUCUGAAAAUAGAAGAAAUAGAAAUUUUCAAAGAAAUAUUGCAAGAAAGCUUUGCACAACUAAAAGAGAAGUUCAAAGUAAAGGGCUGAUCAGAGAUCCGGUAGAGACCGUCCCGACUUGCGACGGGUCGGCUUCAGAGUUUCUGACUUGUUGAUGGUGCAAAGGCGAUACCUAUGCAGUAGAAACCGUACUUGGAAUUUUGAAUUUGGCUCUUUUCCCCCAGGCUGGCGAUACGUGGUCUAGCCCCUGCCGUGCUGCUGGGCAGCGGGGCCGUGGCUCCAAGUCACCCCGCGACCAGAGGGUGAACAGUCGGUACACUGACAGCCAUUCUGCUUUCAUUUUCAGUAGAGAAUUCAACAAGUUACAUGAGAUAGUAAACACUCUGUUAUAAAACAGGCUUCGCGUUAGAUGAUUUUGCCCAACUGCAGGCUAUCGUAAGUGUUCUGAGCACGUUUAAGGCGGGCUGGGCUACAACGCUUGUGGGGUCAGGUGUACUAAACACAUUUUCCACUUUCAGUGGGUUUAGUGGAACACAGCCCCAUGGUAAGUGGAGGAAGAUCUGUACAUGACUGAAACAGGGAUAUCGAUGUAAAUUUUUAGGAAAAAACGAGGCUCCUAAAAGGUUUCCAGAGAGAAAAAAAACAAGUCACAUACGCAGGACACAGGAGGGAAAGGGGAGCUGCAUCGGACCUCUCGACAGCAGCACUGCACACCUCAAGGCACUGGAGAAAUUCCUUCAGAAUUCUGAGGAAACAUGAAUUCCAGCCUGGAAUUCUGUAAACACAAGCUCUCAGUUAAAUGGAAAGAGAAAGACAUUUUCAUAUCCUUGGGAACUG